This 215-nucleotide unclassified non-coding RNA is filed under the name Hevea brasiliensis (rubber tree). The record is from RNAcentral. Lineage: Eukaryota; Viridiplantae; Streptophyta; Magnoliopsida; Malpighiales; Euphorbiaceae.
UAUACAAGCUUCUCAAACCCCCAUUUCCUACAUUAAAUCAUAUGUUGACAAAAGAGAACAAGAUUCAUUCCAAUCACAAGUGCAACAUUCAUUACAAUACUUCAUUUAUUAAAAAAUACUACAUUAUUUGCUUUCUUUUGUUAUGUCAUUUGCUUAGCAUCCAUCGAGCACUUGUCAAAAGGGGACGAAGCAUCUUAAGCAUGAAAGUAAUUCUC